UCAUUGGGUCCUAGUCCAGAGCUUCUGAAUUAGAAACUCAAGGGGUGGGAACCACCACCCAGUUUGUAACAAGCCAUCCAGGUGAUUCUGAUGCUUGCUUAAGUUGGAGAACUAGUGUUCUGGGAAACUGAACCAAUAGCAUUGGCUGUAAGCCAUAGAGUAAUUUAUAAGGAACUGUGGGAGCCAAUGAGCUCAUUUCCAAGGAAUCGUACUCAACUUUGAAGAAGCUUGGAUAGCUGGCUGUGUAUAUCCAGAAAUAUACACUGUUGUCCUUCCAUGUGGCCCAGGAAAGAUGAAGACCAGAGAAUUCUAAAUGUACCUAGCAUAUAUUAAUCAGUAAAAUGGACAGAUUCCUACCUUUUGUGGAGUUUAUAUACAAGCACAUACAGAAAUACAGCAAAUGGUACACCAAACAAAUAGAUCUUGGUUGCCUUCCUUUCUGCUUGAGACGGGGACUGCAGAAGCAGUAUCUAUGAAAAAAAUCAGAUGUCAAACAUCCACUGUGCUUUCCUAGUUUGAAUUUGCAAAUGAGGGAGAUGGUAUCUGAUUCAGAAUAAACCAGGUUCUCACAUAUGAUGUGUUAUCAUUUCCAUAUUAUUACUCGAGGAGCACUGAAUAGAUUUAAGGUAUAGGAUAAGGAAAAUUAGGCCAAUGUAGUUCAACUCUUAUUUUAAAUAUAAAAAGCCACAAAAGAAUUUGUCCUUCACUUGGCUGUCAUAGGUAAGGGUGCUUUUUUCCUGAUGUUCUAUAGACAUCUGUUUAAUGAAUUCCAUUUGGGCUCUGACAUGCUGAAAAUGAAAAUUUUGCUGACAAUUUGGUCCAAGAAGCAUCAUGCUAGAAAUGAGAGAAUGUCAUCUUAGGACAAGAAAACUUGAUCUUAUUCUUUUUCUGUUAUUAAUUAGUGUCAUUAGCUGGUAUGAUUUUCUCAACCAUGUUCGGCAUGUCUCUGAUCCUUUAUAUAUGCAAUAAUGGAGAGGAAAAGGACAUUGAGUGCCUACUUUAUGCAAAAUGCUUUACCAAACUUCUGUGGUACUAAACUUUUCAGUGAUAUCAUUUGAAAAGUUAACAUAAUAAUGUAAGAUUGGCAUUCAGAGAAACUAUGUCAUUUUCCCAAAAUUAUGUGAAAUACGUGGCAAAUCUAAAUUCCAGUCAAUCUGAAUCCAAAGUUUACAAUGAUAACUAUGUAUAUGAAAGUCUAGAAAACAAGAGCUUCUUCCUGUUCUAACAUUUUUUGACUGCCAUCUUAAGGUUUGGUGGAGUUUUCAUACAGUGGCAAGAUAGAAGACUAGAGCAAUAGUUUUGCUAACCCUUAAUCCCUGUUUAAACUCUGACUCCUUUAUGGAACAAGACAAGUUUGUAUUUACCAUGCUUCCAAAUCAAGUCACAUCAGAAAGUAGAAUUAUUGAUUGGCUAGUCAAAAAGACAACUUCCAUUGUGUGUUAAAAAAGUAAGGAGCAUGUCAAAAUAAUACUCAAUUUAAUCAAUGUUAAUUCAUUCCCUUGGGCCUUCUGCAGAUUGGAAUUCUGAUUUUGUGAAGCUUCUAUAUCUAGCACAAUGGGAAUUUUGAACUCAUGUUUUCUUAGAAGUCUUAAAAUGAGUAGUUUCCUUUUUUGUUAUAGUAGCCACAAAACAUGUGUUUUUCUAUCUUUAUUUCUGUGUUCAUAUUAUCACUGCCUGAAGUGUCAUACCUUUUCCCCCUCUGAAUU
Sus scrofa (pig) is the source of this 1706-nucleotide non-coding RNA. The record is from RefSeq and is a predicted model, not a curated record. NCBI's taxonomy places the organism in Eukaryota, Metazoa, Chordata, Mammalia, Artiodactyla, Suidae.